This 460-nucleotide ribosomal RNA is filed under the name uncultured bacterium. RNAcentral's name for it is "partial 16S ribosomal RNA". It matches the Rfam family "Bacterial small subunit ribosomal RNA", at positions 338 to 795 of the family's 1533-position model. The record is from RNAcentral.
CCUACGGGUCGCAGCAGUGAGGAAUAUUGGUCAAUGGACGAGAGUCUGAACCAGCCAAGUAGCGUGAAGGAUGACUGCCCUAUGGGUUGUAAACUUCUUUUAUAAAGGAAUAAAACGAGGCACGUGUGCCUUGUUGCAUGUACUUUAUGAAUAAGGAUCGGCUAACUCCGUGCCAGCAGCCGCGGUAAUACGGAGGAUCCGAGCGUUAUCCGGAUUUAUUGGGUUUAAAGGGUGCGUAGAUGGGUUGUUAAGUCAGUUGUGAAAGUUUGGGGCUCAACCGUAAAAUUGCAAUUGAUACUGGUGGUCUAGAGUAUAGUUGCGGUAGGCGGAAUGUGUGGUGUAGCGGUGAAAUGCUUAGAGAUCACGAAGAACCCCGAUUGCGAAGGCAGCUUACUAAACUGUGACUGACGUUGAUGCACGAAAGUGUGGGUAUCAAACAGGAUUAGAUACCCUGGUAGUC